This 497-nucleotide ribosomal RNA is filed under the name uncultured bacterium. Its description in RNAcentral is "partial 16S ribosomal RNA". It matches the Rfam family "Bacterial small subunit ribosomal RNA", at positions 28 to 507 of the family's 1533-position model. The record is from RNAcentral.
GAUGAACGCUGGCGGCGUGCCUAAUACAUGCAAGUCGAGCGAACGGACGAGAAGCUUGCUUUUCUGAUGUUAGCGGCGGACGGGUGAGUAACACGUGGAUAACCUACCUAUAAGACUGGGAUAACUUCGGGAAACCGGAGCUAAUACCGGAUAAUAUUUUGAACCGCAUGGUUCAAAAGUGAAAGACGGUCUUGCUGUCACUUAUAGAUGGAUCCGCGCUGCAUUAGCUAGUUGGUAAGGUAACGGCUUACCAAGGCAACGAUGCAUAGCCGACCUGAGAGGGUGAUCGGCCACACUGGAACUGAGACACGGUCCAGACUCCUACGGGAGGCAGCAGUAGGGAAUAUUCGGCAAUGGGCGAAAGCCUGACGCAGCAACGCCGCGUGAGUGAUGAAGGUCUUCGGGUCGUAAAGCUCUGUUGUUAGGGAAGAACAGCUGUGGAAGUAACUGCCGAUAUCUUGACGGUACCUAAACAGAAAGCCACGGCUAACUACGUG